RNAcentral lists this ribosomal RNA (725 nucleotides) under uncultured Rhizophagus. RNAcentral's name for it is "SSU rRNA". It matches the Rfam family "Eukaryotic small subunit ribosomal RNA", at positions 374 to 1097 of the family's 1831-position model. The record is from RNAcentral. Lineage: Eukaryota; Fungi; Glomeromycota; Glomeromycetes; Glomerales; Glomeraceae.
GGCACGACACCGGAGAGGGAGCCUGAGAAACGGCUACCACAUCCAAGGAUGGCAGCAGGCGCGCAAAUUACCCAAUCCCGACACGGGGAGGUAGUGACAAUAAAUAACAAUACGGGGUUCUUUAGGAUCUCGUAAUUGGAAUGAGUACAAUUUAAAUCUCUUAACGAGGAACAAUUGGAGGGCAAGUCUGGUGCCAGCAGCCGCGGUAAUUCCAGCUCCAAUAGCGUAUAUUAAAGUUGUUGCAGUUAAAAAGCUCGUAGUUGAAUUUCGGGGUUAGUAGGUUGGUCAUGCCUCUGGUAUGUACUGGUCUCACUGAUUCCUCCUUCCUGAUGAACCUUAAUGCCAUUAAUUUGGUGUUUUGGGGAAUUUGGACUGUUACUUUGAAAAAAUUAGAGUGUUUAAAGCAAGCUAACGCUUGAAUACAUUAGCAUGGAAUAAUGAAAUAGGACGUUCGAUCCUAUUUUGUUGGUUUCUAGGAUUGACGUAAUGAUUAAUAGGGAUAGUUGGGGGCAUUAGUAUUCAAUUGUCAGAGGUGAAAUUCUUGGAUUUAUUGAAGACUAACUACUGCGAAAGCAUUUGCCAAGGAUGUUUUCAUUAAUCAAGAACGAAAGUUAGGGGAUCGAAGACGAUCAGAUACCGGUCGUAGUCUUAACCAUAAACUAUGCCCACUAGGGAUCGGAUGAAUGUUAAUUUUUUUAAUGACUCAUUCGGCGCCUUACGGGAAC